CCUACGGGGGGCAGCAGUGAGGAAUAUUGGUCAAUGGACGAGAGUCUGAACCAGCCAAGUAGCGUGAAGGAUGACUGCCCUAUGGGUUGUAAACUUCUUUUAUAUGGGAAUAAAACGUUCCACGUGUGGGAUUUUGUAUGUACCAUUUGAAUAAGGAUCGGCUAACUCCGUGCCAGCAGCAGCGGUAAUACGGAGGAUCCGAGCGUUAUCCGGAUUUAUUGGGUUUAAAGGGAGCGUAGGUGGAUUGUUAAGUCAGUUGUGAAAGUUUGCGGCUCAACCGUAAAAUUGCAGUUGAAACUGGCAGUCUUGAGUACAGUAGAGGUGGGCGGAAUUCGUGGUGUAGCGGUGAAAUGCUUAGAUAUCACGAAGAACUCCGAUUGCGAAGGCAGUUCACUGGACUGCAACUGACACUGAGGCUCGAAAGUGUGGGUAUCAAACAGGAUUAGAUACCCUUGUAGUC
This 460-nucleotide ribosomal RNA is filed under the name uncultured bacterium. RNAcentral's name for it is "partial 16S ribosomal RNA". It matches the Rfam family "Bacterial small subunit ribosomal RNA", at positions 338 to 795 of the family's 1533-position model. The record is from RNAcentral.